Molecule: long non-coding RNA, 260 nt
Organism: Hyaena hyaena (striped hyena)
Lineage: Eukaryota; Metazoa; Chordata; Mammalia; Carnivora; Hyaenidae
Exons: 3
Source: RefSeq, a predicted model, not a curated record
ACUUUACAAGAAUGCAAACUUGUGUAAGAAAAGUCAGAAGUCACCCAAAGACUGCCAUUCUGGGAUAAGGUCUCCUUGCCAUGAGAUAUGAACAAGAAAAAGAAGCUUUAGAGCACAGUGUUGGUCCUCAAGGAGCUUGCAGUCUGGUUAGACAGAAAGAGAGGUUUUCUUCAGACAAUGUCUUUCUUACUAUGAGUUGUGUGAUGACUCAGCUCCCACCUCUUCAUUCAAACCACUGUGAAACUAUCCUUUAUACACUU